Brassica napus (rape) is the source of this 1527-nucleotide long non-coding RNA. RefSeq lists it as uncharacterized. NCBI's taxonomy places the organism in Eukaryota, Viridiplantae, Streptophyta, Magnoliopsida, Brassicales, Brassicaceae. The record is from RefSeq and is a predicted model, not a curated record. The transcript has 4 exons.
GUGUGCUUAUCAAAAACCAAUUCUUAUACAAGGGUUCUGUGUUUGUGGGUUUCAUCAGUCUGUGGUUUUUAUUCAAGGUUUUGAAUUAUUUGUUCUCUUAUCCCUGAAGCAUGAUUGUAUUUUGAUGGUUAUGUUUUUUAUUGAAUAUGAUUGACUUCAUCUCGAUAAGUUCGUAUGAUUUCUGAUUUACUAUCUAUUGUAAUGUUUCUGUGAGUUUACUUUAAUUAUAUAAGCUGUGAGUUUUGGUUAUAUCUAGGGUUCACCGUUUUCUUCUAUUUCUGCUUAUGUAAACUGCCAAUUGAGUUCUGGUAGGGUUCUAUGAGACGCACUUGCAUAAAGAAUCUCUAGGUCGAGCGUGAGCUCCGUUUCUGAUGUUUCGUCUGAGUUUCAUCUCCUCUGACCGUUAUGAGAAGCAUUUAUUUAUUGCAGACUGCAGUUAACGACAUUCUUAACUCCUUCAACCCACUCCAACCAUGAUUUCUCAUUCAAUGCAUCUUCCCUCUCUACGGCUGUUGGAUCUCCAGCUAUAAAAAGUCGACCCUGAUGCUAUCCACCGUGAACGUCCACCAUGACCCUGGCUCAUCUCCUCCACCAAGCGGAUACCACAUAUAUAUAUAUAUAUAUAAUGCUUAUCGAAGAGUUUUGGUAAAUUUACAGCCCCCUUUGCAAGUUCUUCGUGUUACAAAUCCUUCAAGACAAAAACGUCAAGAAGAUGACUGUCACCAACAUUCACCUCCCCGACUUUGAGACAGGAAGUUGUAAAGAGACAGUGGGUACACGACUUCUGUGUUUUUCAGAGGCUAGAAAUGUGAAGAAAGGAGGAGAGCUGAUGGGUGUUGAAGUGGUUUCCGUUGAUGUGAAGUGAUUACACUUAAAGGACUUAAACAAGCCACCGGUUAUUGCUAACAAGGAGUUAGAGGCAGGGGAGGAAGACUAGGAAGUGAUGCAGCCCCUUAUGUGAGACGCCUACCAAUCCCAAACCAACAUGGAGGUUUUGUAAGAGGUGGUUAAGACAAAGGCCAAGCUGGUGGUGGCAAAGGGAAUAAAGGUGGCCCAGCUAAAGAUGCCUAAAAGUAGGAUUGAAAAAUGGAAAAAGCUCUAACAUGGUAUUAGGAAGAACAUGAAGACAACACUAGCUGAAGGCUUUCUACAGUUGUUGACUAUCAAGUGAACACCCUCCUAUGUUUCUAGGAGAAGCCAGAGCUAAAGCCUUUGUUGCUCAAACUUGCGCAGUGCUCUUUUCAUGAUUCAGUGGCUACAUGAGAGUUGUUUCUGCACGAGUCAGAGUUUAGAGUCAGUAACUUAACUUGCUUCACAUUUAAGAUAUUGUGGUUACAUUUGUUUAUCUAAUGAAUAAGCAAACCAGACUCUAAAUAGCUUAACUUGCUUCACAUUUAAGAUAUUGAGGUUACAGUUGUUUAUCUAAUGGAUAAGCAAACUAGAACCAAGUAAAAUACACGUUCCAAAAACGAUUUACAAACAAUGUUCUUUCUAUUAUAUACUAAUACAUGAAUAUGUUUUUAACGA